This 822-nucleotide ribosomal RNA is filed under the name uncultured bacterium. Its description in RNAcentral is "bacterial SSU rRNA". It matches the Rfam family "Bacterial small subunit ribosomal RNA", at positions 8 to 826 of the family's 1533-position model. The record is from RNAcentral.
AGAGUUUGAUCCUGGCUCAGGAUGAACGCUGGCGGCGUGCCUAAUACAUGCAAGUCGAGCGAGAAACUUUAAAACAGCGGUUUCGGCCAAAGUUUAAAAGCGGAAAGCGGCGGACGGGUGAGUAACGCGUAGGCAACCUGCCCAGAGCUUAGGGAUAGCCUUUGGAAACGAAGAUUAAAACCUCAUAAUGCUAAGUUAACACAUGUUAGUUUAGCCAAAUAUUUAUAGGCUUUGGAUGGGCCUGCGUCUGAUUAGCUAGUUGGUAAGGUAACGGCUUACCAAGGCUGCGAUCAGUAGCCGACCUGAGAGGGUGAUCGGCCACAUUGGAACUGAGACACGGUCCAAACUUCUACGGAAGGCAGCAGUAAGGAAUCUUGCACAAUGGGGGAAACCCUGAUGCAGCAACGCCGCGUGAAGGAUGAAGGUCCUAUGGAUUGUAAACUUCUUUUCUUAGGGAAGAAAAAAAUGACGGUACCUAAGGAAUAAGCCCCGGCUAACUACGUGCCAGCAGCCGCGGUAAUACGUAGGGGGCGAGCGUUAUCCGGAAUUAUUGGGCGUAAAGCGUGCGUAGGUGGUUAUUCAAGCGCAAGGUUUAAUUUAGCAGCUCAACUGCUACUCGCCUUGCGAACUGAACUACUUGAGUGCAGGAGGGGAAAGCGGAAUUCCUAGUGUAGCGGUGAAAUGCGUAGAUAUUAGGAGGAACACCAGAGGCGAAGGCGGCUUUCUGGACUGUAACUGACACUGAGGCACGAAAGCGUGGGUAGCAAACAGGAUUAGAUACCCUGGUAGUCCACGCCGUAAACGAUGAACACUAAACGUUGG